RNAcentral lists this unclassified non-coding RNA (152 nucleotides) under soil metagenome. RNAcentral's name for it is "partial internal transcribed spacer 1". The record is from RNAcentral.
CCGAGUUUACAACUCCCAAACCCCUGUGAACAUACCUAUCGUUGCUUCGGCGGAUCCGCCCCGGCGCCCUCGGGCCCGGAUCAGGCGCCCGCCGGAGACCCCAAACUCUUGUAUUUCUUCAGUAUCUUCUGAGUAAACAAGCAAAUAAAUUA